RNAcentral lists this ribosomal RNA (253 nucleotides) under uncultured bacterium. Its description in RNAcentral is "partial 16S ribosomal RNA". It matches the Rfam family "Bacterial small subunit ribosomal RNA", at positions 524 to 776 of the family's 1533-position model. The record is from RNAcentral.
UACGUAGGCAGCGAGCGUUGUUCGGAAUUACUGGGCGUAAAGAGUGUGUAGGCGGUGCUCUAAGUUCGGUGUGAAAUCUCCUGGCUCAACUGGGAGGGUGCGCCGGAAACUGGAGUGCUUGAGCGUGGGAGAGGAAAGCGGAAUUCCUGGUGUAGCGGUGAAAUGCGUAGAUAUCAGGAGGAACACCUGUGGUGUAGACGGCUUUCUGGACCAGAGCUGACGCUGAGACAUGAAAGCGUGGGUAGCAAACAGG